This 485-nucleotide ribosomal RNA is filed under the name uncultured bacterium. RNAcentral describes it as "bacterial SSU rRNA". It matches the Rfam family "Bacterial small subunit ribosomal RNA", at positions 30 to 507 of the family's 1533-position model. The record is from RNAcentral.
AUUGAACGCUGGCGGCAUGCCUUACACAUGCAAGUCGAACGGCAGCACGGGAGCAAUCCUGGUGGCGAGUGGCGAACGGGUGAGUAAUAUAUCGGAACGUGCCCAGUCGUGGGGGGGUAACGUAGCGAAAGCUACGCUAAUACCGCAUACGAUCUAUGGAUGAAAGCAGGGGAUCGCAAGACCUCGCGCGAUUGGAGCGGCCGAUAUCAGAUUAGGUAGUUGGUGAGGUAAAGGCUCACCAAGCCGACGAUCUGUAGCUGGUCUGAGAGGACGACCAGCCACACUGGAACUGAGACACGGUCCAGACUCCUACGGGAGGCAGCAGUGGGGAAUAUUGGACAAUGGGCGAAAGCCUGAUCCAGCCAUGCCGCGUGUGUGAAGAAGGUCUUCGGAUUGUAAAGCACUUUAAGUUGGGAGGAAGGGUAGUAACCUAAUACGUUGCUACUUUGACGUUACCGACAGAAUAAGCACCGGCUAACUUCGUG